RNAcentral lists this transfer RNA (75 nucleotides) under bacterium. RNAcentral's name for it is "tRNA-Glu". It matches the Rfam family "tRNA". Rfam says of the family: Transfer RNA (tRNA) molecules are approximately 80 nucleotides in length. Their secondary structure includes four short double-helical elements and three loops (D, anti-codon, and T loops). The record is from RNAcentral.
GGCCUCUUCGUUUAAUGGCUAGGACAUCCCCCUCUCACGGGGAAAAUGGGGGUUCGAUUCCCCCAGGGGCUACCA